Molecule: ribosomal RNA, 429 nt
Filed under: Chloroflexota bacterium
Lineage: Bacteria; Bacillati; Chloroflexota
Description: Chloroflexi bacterium partial 16S ribosomal RNA
Rfam family: Bacterial small subunit ribosomal RNA
Source: RNAcentral
UGGGGAAUAUUGCACAAUGGGCGCAAGCCUGAUGCAGCCAUGCCGCGUGUAUGAAGAAGGCCUUCGGGUUGUAAAGUACUUUCAGCGGGGAGGAAGGGAGUAAAGUUAAUACCUUUACUCAUUGACGUUACCCGCAGAAGAAGCACCGGCUAACUCCGUGCCAGCAGCCGCGGUAAUACGGAGGGUGCAAGCAUUAAUCGGAAUUACUGGGCGUAAAGCGCACGCAGGCGGUCUGUCAAGUCGGAUGUGAAAUCCCCGGGCUCAACCUGGGAACUGCAUUCGAAACUGGCAGGCUAGAGUCUUGUAGAGGGGGGUAGAAUUCCAGGUGUAGCGGUGAAAUGCGUAGAGAUCUGGAGGAAUACCGGUGGCGAAGGCGGCCCCCUGGACAAAGACUGACGCUCAGGUGCGAAAGCGUGGGGAGCAAACAGG